Molecule: ribosomal RNA, 253 nt
Filed under: uncultured bacterium
Lineage: Bacteria
Description: partial 16S ribosomal RNA
Rfam family: Bacterial small subunit ribosomal RNA
Source: RNAcentral
UACGUAGGCAGCGAGCGUUGUUCGGAGUUACUGGGCGUAAAGAGUGCGUAGGCGGUUGUUUAAGUCUGUGGUGAAAUCCCCGGGCUCAACCUGGGAAUGGCGAUGGAUACUGGGCAGCUAGAGUGUGUCAGAGGACGGUGGAAUUCCCGGUGUAGCGGUGAAAUGCGUAGAGAUCGGGAGGAACAUCAGUGGCGAAGGCGGCCAUCUGGGACAACACUGACGCUGAAGCACGAAAGCGUGGGGAGCAAACAGG